AUUGAACGCUGGCGGCAGGCUUAACACAUGCAAGUCGAACGAGUGGCGGACGGGUGAGUAAUGUUUGGGAAUCUAGCUUAUGGCCGGGUAUAACUACGGGAAACUGUAGCUAAUACCGCGUACCAUAAGAUGUGCCCAAGUGGGAAUAGGUAGGUAGUGAGGUAAAGGCUCACCAAGCCGACGUUCCUUAGCUGGUCUGAGAGGAUGACCAGCGACACUGGGACGGAGAAACGGCCAAGAAUACUACGGGAGGCAGCAGGGGGGAAUAUUGAACAAGGGGGGCAAACCUGAGGCAGCGAUGACGAGUGAAUGAAGAAGGCCUUCGGGUUGUAAAGUACUUUCAGCGAGGAGGCGGUACCCGCAGAGGAAGCACAGGCUAACACCGUGCCAGCAGCCGCGGUAAUUC
This 406-nucleotide ribosomal RNA is filed under the name uncultured bacterium. RNAcentral describes it as "partial 16S ribosomal RNA". It matches the Rfam family "Bacterial small subunit ribosomal RNA", at positions 29 to 526 of the family's 1533-position model. The record is from RNAcentral.